This 465-nucleotide ribosomal RNA is filed under the name uncultured bacterium. RNAcentral describes it as "partial 16S ribosomal RNA". It matches the Rfam family "Bacterial small subunit ribosomal RNA", at positions 28 to 507 of the family's 1533-position model. The record is from RNAcentral.
GACGAACGCUGGCGGCGUGCUUAACACAUGCAAGUCGAACGGAAAGGCCCUGCUUGCAGGGUACUCGAGUGGCGAACGGGUGAGUAACACGUGGGUGAUCUGCCCUGCACUUCGGGAUAAGCCUGGGAAACUGGGUCUAAUACCGGAUAGGAGCCAUUUUUAGUGUGAUGGUUGGAAAGUUUUUUCGGUGUAGGAUGAGCUCGCGGCCUAUCAGCUUGUUGGUGGGGUAAUGGCCUACCAAGGCGGCGACGGGUAGCCGGCCUGAGAGGGUGUACGGCCACAUUGGGACUGAGAUACGGCCCAGACUCCUACGGGAGGCAGCAGUGGGGAAUAUUGCACAAUGGGCGCAAGCCUGAUGCAGCGACGCCGCGUGGGGGAUGACGGCCUUCGGGUUGUAAACUCCUUUCGCUAGGGACGAAGCUUUUUGUGACGGUACCUAGAUAAGAAGCACCGGCUAACUACGUG